RNAcentral lists this long non-coding RNA (6140 nucleotides) under Setaria viridis. RNAcentral describes it as "long non-coding RNA (SVIR_LNC006077)". The record is from RNAcentral. Lineage: Eukaryota; Viridiplantae; Streptophyta; Magnoliopsida; Poales; Poaceae.
CCUCCACCUCUUUCCUGAUCCCGAACGCACCCCCGGACUCUAUCGCCUCCCCAGAGUACACCGCUUCCACCGUAAACGCACCCCCGCAUCCCGCGUUCGUCGUCCGUCGCUAGAGCUGCGCCGUCGCCGUCGCCAUCGCCAACACACGCUGGCCCAAUCUUCAUCGCCACAACCCCGCGCCCGCGACGUCACAUAUUCGGUGAGGUAAUGCUACCCUUACGAUUCCUGAUCCUGCCUUAAUUUGAAGUUCCAUGGACGCGAAACCCUUAUCUUCUCCGAUCUGGCCUGUUCUCUGACUUUUGCAGGGACUUUCACUUUGCUGGAAGCCAACGCCCGCACUACUCCUCCCUCUCCUCGUGCACAACGUGCCGGCGUCACUCGUCAGAGCCACGCCACCAGGUUAGUUUCCUUCAUCUUGUCGGACGAUUUACAGUACCAGAGUUUGAUUAGAUCCUGUUUGGUCGAACCAGAUACAUAUAAAAGGCUGAAAAAGGAAAAUGAGGGGAAUAAAGGUGAUAAUAUGAGUCGAUGCCGAAGCAUAGGUUGCAACUUACAAAUAUUCGUGCUCAACAACAACAACAAAGGUUCCAUUCUCCUAAAAGUUAAUUUGAUGUAACUUUCGCUAACUGUUGUUUGUAGUGUUUUUCCCUUACAUCUUAGAUAUAGGAAAACCUCAAUUUUCUACUUUACAAAAAAAGAUUUAAAGAUAAACUACUUUAGAUUGCAUAAUGUAUAAGAUGCAUCUGGAAUUGUAAUGCAAAGAUGUGAUGACCAAAAUGAACAUGCAAAGGUUGUCGAGCCUUCCUGAAAACAUGACUAUUUCAUGUCACCUGCUAUGUUAUUUAUUUCUUAUGUUAUGCGAGAACAUAUGAUUCUGUUGAACAUUAGUCUGUAUAACACCAAAAAGGAAUAUACCUGCAAUUACAGAUGGUGCUUCGUAUUCUUCGAGGACUCCUUUGAGCCAUUUUCUCCCACUAAUUUCUGCAUUUCAUUCUGCAAAAGAAAUGAUAAUACGAGUGAGAGCUUACCUUUAGCAUCAAACGAUAUACUCUUCAAUGUAUCUAUUACAGGUCAAACAUUGAGGAUUACUGACAUAUAUUACACAAAAGUCUGUUUUCUCAAGAAACAAACUACAUAACCAAGCAUUCAUCCUCACUUCUAAAUUAAAUGAGAUGACACAGUGCCUUCCUAUGAACUAAUCCAAUAGCCCAGCACUGAUGUUGGUAACUAAUCCAAUAGCCCCGCUCGCCGCCCGCGCCGCUCGCCCCCAGCUGCCCGCCCCGCGCCGCCGCCGCGCGCCGUCCGCGCCGCCCCGCCCCGCUCGCCGCCCGCGCCGCCCCGCCCUGCUCGCCGCCCGCGCCGCCACCCCGCGCCGCCCGACGCCGCCCCGACCCGACACCGCCCCGGCCGCCCGACGCCGCCCCCGGCCGCCCACGGUCGGCCCCCGACCCCCGACCGGCCCCCGGCUAGCCUUCGGCCGUCCCGGAUCGAUCCCGACCCCCGACCGGCCCCGACGCACCGCCCCCGGUCCCAGCACUAGGUGAAUUGAUGCAAUAUUAUCAUGCUUGUUGUAGAGUCGGCCAUCGUGCCGUUGUGAUGUUGUAGAUGUGAUUGUCGGCCAUUGAGCCGUUUUAUUUGAUGCAGGUGUAGGAAACCUCCCUGUGCAGGGGAGGUGCUGUCGAAAUUUUAACUUGACAGGAGUUUUUUUUUUCAGGAGAGCGUACGUUACCGUCCUCCAGUCGUCACUUUGCAGGAUAGCAAGGUGAGGCAUCCUACACCUUUCUUUCCGUAUAAUGUUCGUAUAUCACGUAACCUAGUUAGGCGUCUCCCGUUCGAAAUAGAUACGGUUGGAAAUAUGCAGAUUUUUGCAUAUCUAUAACCGUAUUUGUUUCGAAUUGUCCACGUUUUUUGGACAGCCCGAGGAUGUGUAGGUGGGUUUAGUAUCCAUGAUCUAUUUCGGUCCGAGAUAGAGUUUCGGUAGCACCUCCCUGUUGUUCUCCAGAUACACAAUCUCCUAUCAAGGACGUGUAUUUGGAGAACAGCGGGGAGGUGCUGCCGAAAUUUUAUCUCGGGUCGGAGUAGACCAUGGAUACUAAACCCACCUACACAUCCUCGGGUGGGAUUAGGACCUAUCUUUACCUAGUAGAUAAUAUAGGAACGUGUAUAUGCAAUGUGAAUUUAGUAUUACUCACUUAAAUGGUAGAGGAUGGAGGAUCGUCAGUGGAUGUACACGGGUCGCACUAGUCAGAAUACGUUGACCAAUGAAUGGCUUGACAAGACGGAUGCUUUCUUGGAAUGGGCGUUUGCAAGUGUUAAUGGAGCUCGAUCGACUUGGUGUCCGUGUAGCAAAUGUGGAAACAUGCGUCGGCAAACCAAGCUAGACAUGGGCAAACAUCUGGUGAAGAACGGAUUUACGUCAGACUACACCAGGUGGAUCUACCAUGGUGAAUCUGACCGUGGGAGAGAGGAGGUCUUGAGACAACGCAUCGAGGAAUUUGAUGAUGAUGCCGGGGUGGGAGACAUGUUAAAUGACUAUCAUGAAGCACACUUCGAUGAAGCACGUAGGGAGGAGGAGCCAGAGGCUACCGCUAAGGCUUAUUACGAAAUGUUAUUUGCGGCACAGCAACCCCUCCACGGCCAUACCAAGGUUUCUCAACUAGAUGCCAUUGCACGCCUAAUGGCUGUGAAGUCCCAGUUUAGUUUGAGUCGAGACGCGUUUGAUAUUAUGUUGACAGUUUUUGGAAGCCUGCUCCCGGUUGGUCACAUCUUGCCAAAGAGCAUUUAUGAGGCACAGAAACUCCUUCGUGCACUUAAGAUGCCAUACGAGCAUAUACAUGCUUGCCCGAAGGGAUGCAUCUUAUUUAGGAAAGAGUAUGCGGAAGCAAAAUACUGUGUGAAGUGCGAAUCGUCUAGGUUUCUGGAGGUAGAUUGUGGUGACGGUCAGAAAAAGCAGCUCGCAAUUCCUGUGAAGGUUCUACGGUAUCUUCCUUUCAUACCGAGGAUCUAAUGGCUUUUCAUGACUGAAGAAUCCGCGAAACAGAUGACAUGGCACAAAAAUGGCCGUCACUAUAAUCCUGAGAAGCUGGUACACCCAUCCGAUGCUGAAGCCUGGAAAAGCUUUGAUGCGAUUUAUCCUGCAAAAGUUCUAGAGGCCCGUAACGUACGCGUUGCGUUGGCAACUGAUGGGUUCAAUCCUUAUGGAAUGGCGGCCGCCCCGUACACCUGUUGGCCCAUUUUCGUUAUCCCCCUGAAUCUCCCUCCCGGCGUCCUAUUUCAACGACAUAAUAUAUUCUUGUCGUUGAUAAUUCUAGAGCAUCCGGGGAAUAAUAUGAGUGUGUACAUGGAGCCUCUGAUUGAUGAUUUGCUCCGUGCUUGGGAGGAAGGGGUAUGGACAUAUGACCGAUCCACAAAGACAAACUUCAAGAUGCAUGUUUGGUACCAGUACUCACUGCAUGACUUGCUGGCAUAUGGGAUUUUCUCCGGAUGGUGUGUUCACGGGAAGUUCCCAUGCCCAGUUUGUAAAGCAUCUUUGAAGUUUAUUUGGUUGUCGAAAGGUGGCAAAUAUUCUUCGUUCGACAAACAUCGACAAUUCCUCCCUCCUGACCAUCCAUUUAGACGAGACAUCAAGAACUUUACCAAAGAUGUUGUAGUUACAGCCCCCGCACCGCCGAUGAUGACAGGGGCCGCAGUUCGUGCUCAGUUAGACGCUCUCGAGGUCAAUAAUGAAGAAGGUGGUUUUCUGGGUUAUGGCGAGCAACAUGCUUGGACGCAGAAGUCGUGCUUGUGGAAGCUUCCCUAUUUUGAUGAUCUCCUUGUUCCACAUAACAUUGAUGUAAUGCACACGGAAAAAAAUAUCGCCGAGGCAAUUUUUGGUACAAUAAUGGACAUUCCUGACAAGACAAAGGAUAACGUUAAGGCUAGAGUGGAUCAAGCGACAUUGUGCAACAGACCACAGCUAAACAUGGCGCCUCCAAGAGCUGGCAAGUCGUGGAGGAAGCCUAAGGCUGAUUUCGUUCUGACGAGGGCCCAAAGGAGGGAGGUUCUAGAAUGGUUCCAAACGUUAAUGUUUCCUGAUGGCUAUGCAGCGAACUUGAAGAGGGAAGUGAAUUUAGCAACUAUGCGAAUCAACGGGCGCAAGAGUCAUGAUUACCAUAUAUGGCUUGAGCGCCUACUUCCGGUGAUGGUUCGAGGCUAUGUCCCUGAGCAUGUGUGGCAGGUGCUAGCGGAGUUGAGCAAUUUCUUCCGCCGGCUUUGUACGAAGGAGUUAUCUCGUACCGUGGUUGCAGAAAUGGAAACAAUGGCGCCUGUGUUGCUCUGUAAGUUGGAGAAGAUCUUUCCUCCAGGCUUCUUCAAUCCAAUGCAGCAUAUGAUUCUACACCUUCCGUAUGAAGCAUGAAUGGGGGGGCCUGUGCAGGGUCGUUGGUGCUACUCAAUUGAGAGAUGUCAAAAGGUUCUUCGAACUAAAUGUAAGAAUAAGUGCAAAAUUGAAGCAUCCAUUGCAGAGGCAUACAUUCUGGAGGAGGUGUCAAACUUCACAUCGAAAUACUACGCUGACAACCUUCCUAGCGUGCAUAAUCCACCUUCUCGUUACAAUGCCAACGAAGAUGAAUUAAGCCUUAGCAUUUUCCGAGGGCAACUCGGAAGUGCAAGUGGUGCGACCCGCAAGACCCUAAACCAUGAAGAGUGGCGCUCUAUCAUGCUGUAUGUGUUGACCAACCUAUCUGAAGUGGAGCCGUACAUGAUGUAAGUUCUCACAAACUUGUUUCGAUGUAGUCAUGGUAUCUCUUGCCUAAACGUAUCUUUCUCGUUGCUAUAGGCAAUUUCAUCAUCAAUUCUGGCGUAAAUCAAGGCAACCGUACCCGCACGAAGCUGAGACUCUUCUUAAAGAGGGUGCGGGAAAUGGAAUGCCCGAUUUCAUUUCUUGGUUCAAACAGAAGGUACAAUUUCAUUUCUUCGAACAUUCUCGUUCUCGUACAUACGAUUAAUAUAACGAACCGCCCUGUUUGAACUUGCAGGGCCGAACCGAUGCGUCUAUGAAUGUCGAGUUGAGACAGGUUGCCGAUGGCUGUGACUAUAGGGUCAGGUCGUUUGCCGGUUAUGAUGUCAACGGAUAUAGGUUUCACACAACAAGACACGAGCAGAGUCGGCCCAAUCGAAGAACCACAGAUACCGGAGUUUUCACGCCAGGCUCCGAUGGGAUCGAGUACUACGGAAGAAUUGAAGAAAUAUACGAACUCACUUUUCAUGGGUGCAAACCUCUUAAUCCAGUUAUAUUCAAGUGUCAUUGGUUUGAUCCAUCUGUCGUGAGACGGGCCCCUAACCUUGGGCUAGUCGAAAUUCGACAGUCAUCCAGGUUACCAGGAGACGAUGUCUAUAUUGUGGCUCAACAGGCCACGCAAGUUUAUUAUUUGUCAUACCCGUGCCAAACCGACAGCCGUCUUAAGGGUUGGGAUGUUGUGUACAAGGUAUCGCCACACGGUAAACUACCUGUACCAAACAAUGAAGAUUACAAUAUAGACCCUGACACGUACGAAGGAGAGUUAUUCCAAGAAGAUGGGGUCGAAGGGAGUUUUGUGAUAGAUUUAACCGAAGCGAUCGGAAUGGAAGUAGACAACGAGAGGGUUGCUGCAGAGGAUGGUGGAGACAAGGUUCAGAAUCUGAAGGACUUAGAACUACUUCAACGAUUACAGUUAGCUAAUGACAGUGAUGACGGCAUUCCUUCUUCGGAGCAUGAGCUUGACUAUAUCGACACGCGUGAUAGUGAUGAUGAGACUUAUGAUCCAGCUAAUCCGGAUCAUGAUGAUUAUUUCUAAUACGUGUAUGAUUCAUACUAAUUUAGUUAUAAUUUAAUUAUAAUUUGCAUAUCUUUGUAAUUAUGUUUUGUUUGCCUAUGCUGACUCGUGUACUCUUUUUAAUUGCAGGUCAUUGAGCAAUGGUGGGCGGUAUGAGGAAGCUCACGUCGAUUUGCGAGAGACUGGCCGCGUCAGGGACUGGUUCAGGGUCAGGGUCACGUUCAGGGAGCGGUCGAGGGAGGCGUCGAGGCAGGCCUCGACGUAGGGUUGAGGAGGAGGAGGAGGAGGAGGUGGUGGUCCAGAGGCCUCGAGGGAAGGGUAAAGCGGCGAGGCCCCUGUCGCCUGAAC